AAGGAUCAUUACCUUUCAAUGCAGCAGAAUUGGGAUGGUUGAGUAUCUCGCCUCUCAGUUCUGCCUGUAUUCUACCCUUGUUUGUCAUAUACUAUUAUUUCCUCGGCAGGCUUGCCUGCCGAGUGAAACCAUUUAUAACCUUUUUAAUUUUCAAUCAGCGUCUGAAAAAAUUAAUAAUUACAACUUUCAACAACGGAUCUCUUGGUUCUGGCAUCGAUGAAGAACGCAGCGAAAUGCGAUAAGUAGUGUGAAUUGCAGAAUUCAGUGAAUCAUCGAAUCUUUGAACGCACAUUGCGCCCCUUGGUAUUCCAUGGGGCAUGCCUGUUCGAGCGUCAUUUGUACCUUCAAGCUUUGCUUGGUGUUGGGUGUUUGUCCCGAGGGACUCGCCUUAAAGUAAUUGGCAGCCAGUGUUUGGUUUUGAAGCGCAGCACAAGUCGCGAUUCAAGGCUACACGCCCGCUUCCACAAGCCUUUUUCACUUUUGACCUCGGAUCAGGUAGGGAUACCCGCUGAACUUAA
This 518-nucleotide small RNA is filed under the name fungal sp. B85-14. RNAcentral describes it as "eukaryotic LSU rRNA". The stretch from base 182 to 335 matches the Rfam family "5.8S ribosomal RNA". Lineage: Eukaryota; Fungi. The record is from RNAcentral.